CUCCAGACUCCUACGGGAGGCAGCAGUCGGGAAUAUUGCGCAAUGGAGGAAACUCUGACGCAGUGACGCCGCGUAUAGGAAGAAGGUUUUCGGAUUGUAAACUAUUGUCGUUAGGGAAGAUAAAAGACUGUACCUAAGGAGGAAGCCCCGGCUAACUAUGUGCCAGCAGCCGCGGUAAUACGGAGGAUGCGAGCGUUAUCCGGAUUUAUUGGGUUUAAAGGGUGCGUAGGCGGAAUAUCAAGUCAGCGGUAAAAAUUCGGGGCUCAACCCCGUCGUGCCGUUGAAACUGAUGUUCUUGAGUGGGCGAGAAGUAUGCGGAAUGCGUGGUGUAGCGGUGAAAUGCAUAGAUAUCACGCAGAACUCCGAUUGCGAAGGCAGCAUACCGGCGCCCAACUGACGCUGAAGCACGAAAGCGUGGGUAUCGAACAGGAUUAGAUACCCUGGUA
RNAcentral lists this ribosomal RNA (446 nucleotides) under uncultured bacterium. RNAcentral describes it as "bacterial SSU rRNA". It matches the Rfam family "Bacterial small subunit ribosomal RNA", at positions 329 to 792 of the family's 1533-position model. The record is from RNAcentral.